GAUGAAGAACGUAGCGAAAUGCGAUAAGUAAUGUGAAUUGCAGAAUUCAGUGAAUCAUCGAAUCUUUGAACGCACAUUGCGCCCGCCAGCAUUCUGGCGGGCAUGCCUGUUCGAGCGUCAUUUCAACCCUCGAGCCCCCCCGGGGGCCUCGGUGUUGGGGGACGGCACACCAGCCGCCCCCGAAAUGCAGUGGCGACCCCGCCGCAGCCUCGCCUGCGUAGUAGCACACACCUCGCACCGGAGCGCGGAGGCGGUCACGCCGUAAAACGCCCAACUUUCUUAGAGUUGACCUCGGAUCAGGUAGGAAUACCCGCUGAACUUAAGCAUAUCAAUAAGCGGAGGA
This 343-nucleotide unclassified non-coding RNA is filed under the name soil metagenome. RNAcentral describes it as "partial contains 5.8S ribosomal RNA, internal transcribed spacer 2, and large subunit ribosomal RNA". The stretch from base 1 to 120 matches the Rfam family "5.8S ribosomal RNA", at positions 35 to 154 of the family's 154-position model. The record is from RNAcentral.